AGAGUUUUGAUCAUGGCUCAGAUUGAACGCUGGCGGCAGGCCUAACACAUGCAAGUCGAGCGGUAACACAAGGGAGCUUGCUCCUGAGGUGACGAGCGGCGGACGGGUGAGUAAUGCCUAGGGAUCUGCCCAGUCGAGGGGGAUAACAGUUGGAAACGACUGCUAAUACCGCAUACGCCCUACGGGGGAAAGGAGGGGACCUUCGGGCCUUCCGCGAUUGGAUGAACCUAGGUGGGAUUAGCUAGUUGGUGAGGUAAUGGCUCACCAAGGCGACGAUCCCUAGCUGUUCUGAGAGGAUGAUCAGCCACACUGGGACUGAGACACGGCCCAGACUCCUACGGGAGGCAGCAGUGGGGAAUAUUGCACAAUGGGGGAAACCCUGAUGCAGCCAUGCCGCGUGUGUGAAGAAGGCCUUCGGGUUGUAAAGCACUUUCAGUAGGGAGGAAAGGUUAUUGUUUAAUACGCAACUUCUGUGACGUUACCUACAGAAGAAGGACCGGCUAACUCCGUGCCAGCAGCCGCGGUAAUACGGAGGGUCCGAGCGUUAAUCGGAAUUACUGGGCGUAAAGCGUGCGCAGGCGGUUUGUUAAGCCAGAUGUGAAAUCCCCGGGCUUCAACCUGGGAAUUGCAUUUGGAACUGGCGAACUAGAGUCUUGUAGAGGGGGGUAGAAUUCCAGGUGUAGCGGUGAAAUGCGUAGAUAUCUGGAGGAAUACCGGUGCCGAAGGCGGCCCC
RNAcentral lists this ribosomal RNA (733 nucleotides) under Shewanella sp. B51bio. Its description in RNAcentral is "bacterial SSU rRNA". It matches the Rfam family "Bacterial small subunit ribosomal RNA", at positions 8 to 728 of the family's 1533-position model. Lineage: Bacteria; Pseudomonadati; Pseudomonadota; Gammaproteobacteria; Alteromonadales; Shewanellaceae. The record is from RNAcentral.